AUUGAACGCUGGCGGCAUGCCUUACACAUGCAAGUCGAACGGUAACGCGGGGGCAACCCUGGCGACGAGUGGCGAACGGGUGAGUAAUACAUCGGAACAUACCCAGUAGCGGGGGAUAACCUAUCGAAAGAUUGGCUAAUACCGCAUACGACCUACGGAUGAAAGUGGGGGACCGCAAGGCCUCGCACUAUUGGAGUGGCCGAUGUCAGAUUAGCUAGUUGGUGGGGUAAAAGCCGACCAAGGCGACGAUCUGUAGCUGGUCUGAGAGGACGAUCAGCCACACUGGAACUGAGACACGGUCCAGACUCCUACGGGAGGCAGCAGUGGGGAAUUUUGGACAAUGGGCGCAAGCCUGAUCCAGCCAUGCCGCGUGAGUGAAGAAGGCCUUCGGGUUGUAAAGCUCUUUCGGUGAAGACGAAACGGUUAGCGCUAAUAACGCUGACUAGUGACGGUACUCACAGAAGAAGCACCGGCUAACUACGUGCCAGCCGCCGCCGUAA
Molecule: ribosomal RNA, 500 nt
Filed under: uncultured bacterium
Lineage: Bacteria
Description: partial 16S ribosomal RNA
Rfam family: Bacterial small subunit ribosomal RNA
Source: RNAcentral